This 261-nucleotide ribosomal RNA is filed under the name uncultured bacterium. RNAcentral's name for it is "partial 16S ribosomal RNA". The record is from RNAcentral.
CUGCUGCCUUCCGUAGGAGUUUGGGCCGUGUCUCAGUCCCAAUGUGGCCGGUCACCCUCUCAGGUCGGCUACUGAUCGUCGCCUUGGUGAGCCGUUACCUCUCCAACUAGCUAAUCAGACGCGGGUCCAUCUCAUACCACCGGAGUUUUUCACACCAAACCCAUGCGGUUUUGUGCGCUUAUGCGGUUUUAGCAGUCAUUUCUAACUGUUAUCCCCCUGUAUGAGGCAGGUUACCCACGCGUUACUCACCCGUCCGCCACU